Molecule: unclassified non-coding RNA, 289 nt
Filed under: uncultured fungus
Lineage: Eukaryota; Fungi
Description: partial contains 5.8S rRNA, ITS2 and 28S rRNA
Rfam family: Eukaryotic large subunit ribosomal RNA
Source: RNAcentral
AAGGAGUCUAACAUGCUUGCGAGUAUUUGGGUGUCAAACCCGGAUGCGUAAUGAAAGUGAAUGGAGGUGGGAAGCGCAAGCUGCACCAUCGACCGAUCUGGAUUUUCUAAGAUGGAUUUGAGUAAGAGCACGUAUGUUGGGACCCGAAAGAUGGUGAACUAUGCCUGAAUAGGGCGAAGCCAGAGGAAACUCUGGUGGAGGCUCGUAGCGGUUCUGACGUGCAAAUCGAUCGUCAAAUUUGGGUAUAGGGGCGAAAGACUAAUCGAACCAUCUAGUAGAUGGUUACUGC